AAAUAGUCCCUUCGUACGAAAGGAGUUGGGAAUGUUGACCUAUGGUUUACCUGUUGUUUAAUAUUGUUUUUAACUAAUUUACUAUCACUAAAGUAAAAAUUAUGAAUAUACACUCAAUCAGAAAUGGUUGUUGUAUAGGAUUGCUUAUUAAGCACGGCAGGAAAGCUAAGUCAAUUAUAGAUAAGUGCUGAAAGCAUUUAAGCGCGAAGCUUAU
Molecule: non-coding RNA, 214 nt
Filed under: Nannizzia gypsea CBS 118893
Lineage: Eukaryota; Fungi; Ascomycota; Eurotiomycetes; Onygenales; Arthrodermataceae
Description: Arthroderma gypseum CBS 118893 Archaeal large subunit ribosomal RNA
Rfam family: Bacterial large subunit ribosomal RNA
Source: Rfam by way of RNAcentral